RNAcentral lists this ribosomal RNA (209 nucleotides) under uncultured bacterium. RNAcentral describes it as "partial 16S ribosomal RNA". It matches the Rfam family "Bacterial small subunit ribosomal RNA", at positions 116 to 334 of the family's 1533-position model. The record is from RNAcentral.
CGUGGUACCGUACCCGACGGUGAGGAAUACCACCGAGAAAUCGGUGACAAUACCGCAUACGCUUCGCAAGAAGCAAAGUCUUGAUAAGAGACGCCCCAGGAUGGGCCUGCGCCUGAUCAGCUAGUUGGUGAGGUAAGAGCUUACCAAGGCUGCGAUCAGUAGCUGGUCUGAGAGGAUGAUCAGCCACACUGGGAUUGAGAACGGCCCAG